GGCCCGCCUGGCCGACGGCCAGGUCCGCGCCGGCUUCGGCGCGCAGGGUGCCGUUGGCGACCGUCUUGCCGUUCAGUUCGGCAUCGGUUCCC
RNAcentral lists this transfer RNA (92 nucleotides) under Achromobacter denitrificans. RNAcentral describes it as "tRNA-???(gctt)". The record is from RNAcentral. Lineage: Bacteria; Pseudomonadati; Pseudomonadota; Betaproteobacteria; Burkholderiales; Alcaligenaceae.